GCGCAGUUGGUUUAGUGGUAUAAUUACCGCCUGCCACGCGGUAGACCCGGGUUCGAUUCCCGGACUGCGCA
This 71-nucleotide transfer RNA is filed under the name Dissophora globulifera. RNAcentral describes it as "Mortierella globulifera tRNA". It matches the Rfam family "tRNA". From Rfam's summary of the family: Transfer RNA (tRNA) molecules are approximately 80 nucleotides in length. Their secondary structure includes four short double-helical elements and three loops (D, anti-codon, and T loops). The record is from Rfam by way of RNAcentral. RNAcentral also lists the same sequence under 2 other names. Lineage: Eukaryota; Fungi; Mortierellomycota; Mortierellomycetes; Mortierellales; Mortierellaceae.